GUUUUGGGAGCUUUCCAUGCAGUCGAGCGGCAGCGCGGUCUUCGGACUGGCGGCGAGCGGCGAACGGGUGAGUAAUACAUCGGAACAUGCCCAGUCGUGGGGGAUAACACUUCGAAAGAAGUGCUAAUACCGCAUACGUCCUGAGGGAGAAAGCGGGGGAUCGCAAGACCUCGCGCGAUUGGAGUGGCCGAUGUCAGAUUAGCUAGUUGGUGGGGUAAAGGCCUACCAAGGCAACGAUCUGUAGCUGGUCUGAAAGGAUGAUCAGCCACACUGGGACUGAGACACGGCCCAAACUCCUACGGGAGGCAGCAGUGGGGAAUUUUGGACAAUGGGGGCAACCCUGAUCCAGCCAUUCCGCGUGAGUGAAGAAGGCCUUCGGGUUGUAAAGCUCUUUCGGCAGGAACGAAGCGGCGAGCUCUAACAUAGCUCGCUAAUGACGGUACCUGAAGAACAAGCACCGGCUAACUACGUGCCAGCAGCCGCGGUAAUACGUAAGGUGCGAGCGUUAAUCGGAAUUACUGGGCGUAAAGCGUGCGCAGGCGGUUGUGUAAGACAGGUGUGAAAUCCCCGGGCUUAACCUGGGAACUGCGCUUGUGACUGCACGGCUAGAGUAUGGCAGAGGGGGGUGGAAUUCCACGUGUAGCAGUGAAAUGCGUAGAGAUGUGGAGGAACACCGAUGGCGAAGGCAGCCCCCUGGGCCAAUACUGACGCUCAUGCACGAAAGCGUGGGGAGCAAACAGGAUUAUAUACCCUGGUAGUCCACGCCCUAAACGAUGUCUACUAGGUGUUCGGUGAGGAGACUCAUUGAGUACCGCAUCUAAACGCGUGAAGUCGACCGCCUGGGGAGUACGGUCGCAAGAUUAAAACUCAAAGGAAUUGACGGGGACCCGCACAAGCGGUGGAUGAUGUGGAUUAAUUCGAUGCAACGCUAAAAACCUUACCUACCCUUGACAUGCACGGAACCCUGCUGAGAGGUGGGGGGUGCUCGAAAGAGAGCCGUAACACAGUGCUGCAUGGCUGUCCGUCAGCUUCGUGUCGUGAGAUGUUUGGGUUAACUCCCG
Molecule: ribosomal RNA, 1061 nt
Filed under: beta proteobacterium shui5-6
Lineage: Bacteria; Pseudomonadati; Pseudomonadota; Betaproteobacteria
Description: bacterial SSU rRNA
Rfam family: Bacterial small subunit ribosomal RNA
Source: RNAcentral